AACGAACGCUGGCGGCAUGCCUAACACAUGCAAGUCGAACGAGACCUUCGGGUCUAGUUGCGCACGGGUGCGUAACGCGUGGGAACCUGCCCUUAGGUUCGGAAUAACUCCCCGUAAGGGGUGCUAAUACCGGAUAAUGUCUUCGGACCAAAGAUUUAUCGCCUUUGGAUGGGCCCGCGUUGGAUUAGCUAGUUGGUAGGGUAAAAGCCUACCAAGGCGACGAUCCAUAGCUGGUCUGAGAGGAUGAUCAGCCACACUGGGACUGAGACACGGCCCAGACUCCUACGGGAGGCAGCAGUGGGGAAUAUUGGACAAUGGGCGAAAGCCUGAUCCAGCAAUGCCGCGUGAGUGAUGAAGGCCUUAGGGUUGUAAAGCUCUUUUACCCGGGAUGAUAAUGACAGUACCGGGAGAAUAAGCUCCGGCUAACUCCGUG
RNAcentral lists this ribosomal RNA (433 nucleotides) under uncultured bacterium. RNAcentral's name for it is "partial 16S ribosomal RNA". It matches the Rfam family "Bacterial small subunit ribosomal RNA", at positions 29 to 507 of the family's 1533-position model. The record is from RNAcentral.